UCCAAAAAGGAUAAUUUUCACCCACAAGCAGUGGUGGUCUAUUUCUAGAUGCACAUUCACCAAAGGUUUGAAAACUACAAGUCAUCAUCCAAGAAUAUAGUCGAUUCAAAGAAAACAGAAUUCGACUAGUUUUUCAAAUAUCUUAUGAAAACCAACUUUGGUGCCAAUUGUUGGAAACAUAAUGGCUUAGUUUCAACACCAAGAGGGGGCGCG
Molecule: long non-coding RNA, 213 nt
Filed under: Vigna radiata
Lineage: Eukaryota; Viridiplantae; Streptophyta; Magnoliopsida; Fabales; Fabaceae
Description: long non-coding RNA (VRAD_LNC010289)
Source: RNAcentral